GGAGGAGUUGCCGUCAGAUUGCUUGGGAAAUGUGGUGCUUUGAAGACAAUCUACUUCUCAUCUCUCCUUAGCCCCGUAAUUGACUGAAAGGUGGCAUACGUUUUCGGACACGCCAAGAAUCCGUUCAAUCUCGCUUCAGCUUCGAGUUGUUUGGGUGCACGUUGAAACCUACUUAGGUUAGCCUAGCCUAGGCUAGUUUAGCUGUUAGCAAAGAGAACAAACUCCGCGCCUGGGAUCAACACGUCGCCGAGCAAAUAAACAUCAAGUCCCAAAAUGUCAGAUCUAUAUGUCAGCCAAGCCCAUCGUCCUGAACACCAGGUGUCUGCAUGCAUCAAAGAGGAGGAAGAGGAAAAAUCAGCAUACAUCAAGGGAGAGGAGGACUUCGUACCCAUUAAAGGUUUCAGCAAAUAUCUUGGUCCUGAGUGGCAGGAGUCUGAGUCUCCUGGCGUUAAAGAGGAAGUGGAGCACCCACAUAUGAAACUGGAAGAGCCAGAGCACCCUCAACAGCAAAAUAGAGAACUGCAACUUCCACUCAAAAAGGAGGAGGUAGAGCUGCCAUACGUUAAAGAGGAGGACGAUAUCCCCAUGUUGACUGGUGAGCCCUUGAAGAGUGAGGAUGGUCUGAGUGAGGUCAACAGAGGGAUAGAGCCUCCAAGUGGCAGCAGCAACUCAACAGGAUUGCAAGCACACAUUUUCAUCGCACCAUCAGAUAGAAAUGGCACCACGUCACACUCCCCUUUCAAAGAUGGUGGUCAGAAGAAAUCUCACUGUGACGGUAAACUCUGCAAAUGCUCUCAGUGUGGGAAAACCUUUGCUAAUAACUAUACUUGUCGUAUGCAUAUGAGGAGCCACACUGGUGAAAAGCCUUUUAUCUGCUCAGUUUGUGGUCAGAAAUUCACUCAGAAGAGCAACUUAAACGCACACACCAGAACCCACACUGGUGAAAAACCUUUUGUCUGCUCAGUUUGUGGUCAAAAAUUCAUUCAGAAGAGCAACUUAAAUAGACACGUAACAACCCACACCGAAGAAAAAACGUUUUCCUGCUCAGUUUGUGGAAAACAUUUUGCCAAGACACGAGACUUAACAAAACACACAAGAACCCACACUGAUAAAAAACCUUUUGUCUGCACAGUUUGUGGUAAAAAAUUCCCUUGGAGGAGCCACUUAAGCGCACACUCAAGAACACACACUGGCGAAAAACCUUUUUGCUGCUCAGUUUGUGGCCAAAGAUUUAGUCAAAAGAGCACCUUCAACACACACUCGAGAACCCACACUGGUGAAAAACCUUUUUCCUGCUCAGUUUGUGGCCAAAGAUUCAGUCGAAAGGGUGGCUUAAAUGAACACACAAGAACCCACACUGGCGAAAAAGCUUUUUCCUGCUCUGUUUGUGGAAAACGUUUUGUUAAGACGCGAGACUUAACAAAACACACAAGAACCCACACUGGUGAAAAACCUUUUGUCUGCUCAGUUUGUGGUCAAAAAUUCACAUGGAAGAGCCACUUCAGCGCACACUCAAGGACACACACUGGCGAAAAACCUUUUUGCUGCUCAAUUUGUGGCCAAAGAUUCAGUCAAAAGGGUGGCUUAAACGAACACACAAGAACCCAUACUGGCGAAAAACCUUUCGUCUGCUCAUUUUGUGGUCAAAGAUUCAGUCAAAAGAGCACCUUUAACAAACACUCGAGAGCACACUCCGGCGAAAAACCUUUUUGCUGUUCAGUGUGUGGCCAAAGAUUCAGUCGAAAGGCUGGCUUAAACGAACACACAAGAACCCACACUGGCGAAAAAGCUUUUUCCUGCUCAGUGUGUGGUAAAAAAUUCAGUCACAAGAGCAACUUAAACACACACUCAAGAACCCACACUGGCGAAAAGCCUUUUUCCUGCUUAGUUUGUGGUCAAAGAUUCAGUACAAAGAGCGCCUUAAGCACACACGCAAGAACCCACACUGGCGAAAAAGCUUUUUCCUGCUCAGUAUGUGGUAAAAAAUUCAGUCAAAAGAGCCACUUAAGUGCACACUCAAGAAACCACACUGGCGAAAAGCCUUUUUCCUGCUCAGUUUGUGGCCAAAGAUUCAGUACAAAUAGCGCCUUAAGCACACACAGAACAACUCACACUGGCGAAAAAGCUUUUGUCUGCUCAGUUUGUGGUAAAAAAUUCACUUGGAAGAGCAACUUAAACAAACACUCAAGAACCCACACUGGCAAAAAACCAUUUUCCUGCUCCGUUUGUGGUCAAGGUUUCACUGAAAAGCAACACUUAAUAGUACACAUAAGAAACCACACUGGUGAAAAACCUUUUUCCUGCUCAGUUUGUGGCCGAAGAUUCAGUCGAAAGAGCAACUUAAACAUGCACAUAAGAACCCACACUGGCGAAAAAGCUUUUUCCUGCUCAGUUUGUGGUCAAAGAUUCAGUCAAAAAAGCCACUUAAACACACACUCAAGAACCCACACUGGCAAAAAAACCUUUUCCUGCUCAGUUUGUGGUGAAGGAUUCACUUGGAAGGAUCAGAUGAAGAGACACGUGUGUGGCUGUGUGAGAAGCAGUGGCCAAUGACUGCUUUGUCUGUCAUCAAUAAGGGUGUAACGGUACAUGUAUUUGUAUUGAACCGUUUCGGUACUUGGUCCUCGGUUCGGAACGGAGGCGUACCGAACGAGUUUCUAACGUAAUGUAAAGUGCUGUUAAAUUGAGCGCGUUAACGGGCGGUAAUUAUUUUUUGAAUUAAUCACGUUAAAAUGUUUGACGCAUUUAACGCAAGCGCGGAAUGCCCACUCAUGCAUCCCAUAAUCCCACUGUUACGUCCCACAGGCGGCUCGCUAAGGGCGUAACAUAAAACGAGCCACACACACAAGUUACAAAUGGAGACAAAUUUAUUUACACAAGUCGAAUUCGCAAUGAACAAAAUAUACAAAAUGUGGAAGAAGCUGGCUUCAGUGUAAGCCCAGGCCAAAACAACAAACAAAAUGAAACUACACCAAAAACCCACCCGCUAAGUAAACCCUGAUCGUAAAAAGGAAAUAAGACAGCCACUACCCUGGCUUGUACACUAAACAAAAUGGGUUGAACGAAAACGGCAGUUUACCUCUACUGCUGCGGUGCAAUUAUUUACAGUGGUGAACAAAAACGAUGCAAUAACGAAUGAAUACAAAAUACCUCACCAAAAAAGCAAAAGCGUAACAAAAUAGCGAUCAAAUGCACAGGUGAAUGAAUGGCGAGCAAACAGCUGGCGAGGAGGUACGCGGCACGUAUGCUUUCAAAUGCGAAGUUGCGAACUCUCAGAGUGUUGACUGCAAAAAUGACGAGCGAUCAGAUGACUUUUGUUAACGCUGCCUUUAUUUGGUUACCAAGACUCAGGCACAAUACAACACAUACGCGGGGAUGCGAGCUCAAACUACCUUGUAUCGGCUUAGCUGCCGUAAAGCAAUUGCCGUUAUUGCCACAAAUGUAAACAAAGCGCUGCGCAAUGGAUACAUGACGGACAGCGGCUAGUUUUUUAAGUCGGCACCCUUCCUCGGGUGGCCCAUCAGCGGCGGCGACGUCGUCUGCCCGUCCGUCGUCAAUCAGAGUAAGUCACGUUGGGAGGGGAGGCAGCAAGCUGGCGGACACGACGAUCGGCUGACUGACAGUCAAGAAAGAUAACAAUUAAACGGCCAGGGCCGUCGUACCACUCAGAAGUGCAGUGAGCAGCGUGGGUAACGGUUAAAUGCAAACGUGGAAGAAAAUCAGGUUGGCCCUCUGGGUGGGGAAUUCAAAUUAAAAAAGAAUAUAGAUGAAACAAUUUUCAGAAAAUGUAAGUUGGUUUGCCUCAGCGACUGGCUAGAGGAUGAGUAGCGAAGAGGGCCACAUUUAUGUGAACACUACACACACUUUGCACACAUUAUAAAUAAUACUGUUUUUGUUACUGUUCUAAGGCUCUGUUGUGUGUUUGUUUUUGCAAAAAGAAAAUGUCUUGAACAGAAAGAAUGUUAAUGUUAAUGCCAUCUUGUGGAUUUAAUGUUAUAAUCAGGGGUGCACAUAAGUGGUCCGCAUGCGCGCAUGCGUUCCGGAUGUAGACAAACGCGCUGGCCCUCAACGACUUCCCUACGCUUUUGCGUACCUAUGGCUGACCACCGUAUUUGCGGCGGACACGAGAAAAUAACUUCUCAAAAUGUCAAAGAGGCAGGCCACACUGAGUAAUUACUUCCGUGUUCCCCCACCCCCGUCAAAAGACAGACAGACGACAGAGACGUCACCGGAGCUACCGAAAAAAUUGACUUUUGCUGAAAAGUAGGAGGUACCAUGGCUAGAAGCAAAUGAUGCUCGCAUGGAAAUGCGGUACAAAAUGUGCUGUGAGAAUCCCAAUGUCGCCGAUAAGAGCAGCGCAUUUUAUGUUGGGUCAAAGAAUUUCAGCCGUCCAAACUUUGAAAAGCACAAAAAAAACAGAGCAUGUGGCAAUUAAGCAAACUAUCGAUGUCAAACAGGACCCCGCUCGCCCUAUGGACAAGUGGCGGAAUAAAGGUAAUGAACAGCGACAUGCACUGACAAACGUGUUUUUGCUCGCAUUUUACGAAGCUAAACAUGCACGUUCAAUAAGGUCUUAUGAGGAGGACAUCCCACUUUUAACCCUCGUGGCAUGCAGGUACAUAUUAUGUACAUUUUCAUGUUUUUUGUAUUUUCAAUCAAAGAGAGAGCAUUGAAAAGUAAACACUUGGGAGCUGAAAUUUCCCCUGGGUUGUGAAAACAAGUUAAAGUUAAAAAUGGCAUUGUGCGGUGAUUUAUAUGUUAUUGCAUUUGGGAGCCACCCACAUACUUUAUUCAAAACAUGCUAUGUACAUUAUUUGGACGUAUAGACAUCCAUUAUAAUUCAUAAUCUUUGAUAUAAUAUAAAUCUGUCGUAUUUCAAUGCAUUUGCCGGGAUUUUGGUAUCUGUCUCUUCAGUGCCGUGGAGUCUAUUGUAUGUGAAGGAAAAAAAUUUGUUGAGUGCUUACACCACUACACCAGCAGGUCGCACUAAAGCCCAAAUAAUAAUUUUGCAUGUAAACGUGCACCGCACCCUGGAUACGCAUGCACGCACGCGUAGACGCGCAUGCACGCGCGCGACAAUUGUUUUGCAUUGCUUUGCAGAAACCUCUGCAAAGCAAUGCAAAAGAAUUGUCGCGCGCAUACCUUGCUGUUGCAAAAUCAAGUGUCGUGAACUUGCGUGUGUGCGCCUCUUCGUAGCGCGGCCAAAGCACUUGUGGGCGUGUUCACCCGGGCGCUGCUUCAAAGGUAAAGAUCUGAAUGACCGCCAUGGGAAAAGUAGAUGACUGACCACUGUCGGAAAGGCGGAUAAUUCAAAUAAAAACCUGUUCGACUCUCAACUGUUAUUGGUCGGCUGUUUGAAUCUUGAAAUCCGAUUGGAUCUGAUCGUGACCUCUUCGGCCAAAUGUAUAUAGAGGGCCAACUACCCAGCGACCAUUACCUACCAACACUGACUUGUGCAGGAUGGAAAGGAAAUUCUCAGUCGACGAAGCACGGCGUUUGGUUAUGGAGGGAAUAUCCGAACCGGAGGAUUUUUUUUCCUCCGACACCUCGGACCAUUCCGAUGAGGAUUUUGUUCCUGAUUGCCCGGCAGAAGGGGGACAAACAGAAGAGGAUUCUGAUGACGAUGUAGCGGGUGACGAAUCUGACGAUACGGAGGAAGAGGAUAUGGAGGAGGAUAUGGGUGAAAAGAAAGUGCAAGAUGAUUUGCAAGAAGACGUGAGUGGACAAAACAUUUGGCGAUCCAAAAAUAAAAAAAUCAUGUGGUCUAGAUCACACGAAGUGGCCGGUCACUUUGUACCUCCGGCACUAUCCAACAGUGGGCCAACUUCUUACGCCAUUGCCCGGAUCAGUUGCCCCGUCGCCGCAUUCGAUUUAUUUUUGACCGACGAAAUUAUUGACCACAUAGUCGCAAUGACUAAUUUGCAAGGGCAGAGAACGAUUAUGCGCUGGACUACGAUCACCGCACAGCAACUCCGUGCAUACUUAGGGCUUCUAAUUUUAGCUGGGAUGUACAAAUCUAAAGACGAGUCUACGAAGAGCCUGUGGGACAAGGAACUGGGUCGUCCGAUGUUCGCUGCAACUAUGUCCUCCUUCAAGUUUGGCCUGAUCAACAGAGCCCUGCGAUUUGACGACAAGUUGCACCGGCCACAACGUUAUCAUCGGAGCAAGCUAGCACCGAUCCAAGACGUUUGGAGCAAGUGGAACAGCCGCCUGCAAAUGAUGUUUUACCCCGGCAGGGACAUCUGCGUGGAUGAGCAGCUGGUCUCGUUUCGGGGCCGCUGCUCGUUCAAACAAUACCUACCGAGCAAGCCUGCCACGUACGGGCUGAAAGUGUGGGCAGCGUGUGAUGUCGCCACCUCCUACGCGCUGAAUUUGGAGGUUUACACAGGGAAAGCUCCAGGGGCCCGGCGCGAACCAAACGUUGGCAUGGGAGUGGUGCUACGACUAUGCAACAAUCUAGACGGCCACACGGUGACGACGGAUAAUUUUUUCACAUCGUUCCCCCUGGCUGCAGAGCUGAAAAAAAAAAAGGAUCACGUUGGUGGGCACCCUUCGAAAAAAUAAAAGCGAACUUCCACCAGUGCUCCUAAGGUCGUUCACCAGACAGCCACUUUCAAGGUGGGUUUUAUGUUGUAUUAUCAUCUCGACUUUGUGCUGCAUUUUUAUAUAUAAAAAUUGCUAUAUGAAUAAACUUGGAUUUUAUUUUUCAUUCAGCCUAUUUGCCUUCACAAAGGAGUGCACUUUAGUCUCUUACAUCCCCAAGAAAGGCAAAAUUGUGCUACUGAUGAGCACAAAGCAUCGUGAUCCGGAGGUGGUGGAGGGAUCGAAACCAAAACCAAGGAUGAUCCAUGAUUACAACAAAUGCAAGGGAGCAGUGGAUCACCUGGAUCAGGCAUGUGCCACUUAUUCAUGCCGGCGGCGGGCGCAACGAUGGCCCGUGUGCCUUUUCCAGCACAUGAUAGACAUAUCAGCAUUCAAUGCUUUUGUGCUGUACACACAAAUACAGCCAGACUGGAACCGCCAGAAAUUGUAUAGAAGACGACUUUUUUUGCUGGAAGUGGCAAAGGCCCUUGUUUCGCCCGAAAUCUCCAGAAGAGAGCAUCAGAGGCCGGAGAAAAGUGCACAGGUGGCUUCUGCAGGUGAGCUGCCAGUUGCAGUACAGCAGGAUGACGCAAAGAGAAGGCGACAAUGUAGGCUUUGCCCUGCACCACUCAGAGCAUCAAACAAGUGUGCCACGUGUGGGAUUCCCAUAUGCUACAAGCAUAUGAAAAAAACAUGCCUUAACUGUUAAAAAGUUAUUAGUUCUUGUUGCUGUUGUUGCUAUUGUUGCUGUUUAUUGCUGUUAUUGCUGUUAGUUCAUUGUUCUAUUGCAGUUAAUUGUUUUAUUUGCAUACAUUCUGUCAAUUGUUCAUAGUUGUGAGUUUUGGGCCAAAUAUGUUUGUGUGUGUAUAUAUAAAAUACAGUUAGUUCUCUUCAAACAACCAUUUUUUAAUGACUAUUUAUUGUUCUAAGGCGGGGGUAAAUAAAUAACUUAAAAUCUACGUAUGGAUGGAUAGGCCUGUUGCCAUUAGACAUUUUGAAACACUGGAAGUAAAAAAAUAUUCAUAAAUGACUGAGUUAUCACACAUCAAGUUCUCGUCCAAAUAAUGUACACUUGACAUGAAUUGUGUGAGGUUUUUGGGGAAAAUGCUACUGUCAAAAAAAUUGACAUGUAUUGGAAAAAAAUGUUGUUACCACUUUUUGACUAAUUCAAAGCUCUAAUUAGGCCAUAUGAAAUAUUCACCUAGAAAUUUUAUGUAUAUGUAUACAGUUCAGUUAGUUGUCUUUAUAGUCACUUUUAGGACUUGUACUGUCUUAAGGGGCGGGGUGAACAAAUAAAUAAAUUAAAAACUACAUAUGUAUGGAUAGGUCUAAUGGCAUCGAACAUUUUGAAUAGUUGGAAGUCAAAAAAUAUUCAUAAAUGACUGAGUUAUCACACUUCAAGUUCACAUCCAAAUAAUGUACACUGACAUGAAUUGUGCGAGGUUUUUGGGGAAACUGCUAUUGUCAAAAAAAUGGGCAUGUAUGGAAAAAAAAAUUGUCACCACUUGUUGACUAAUUCAAAGCUCUAAUUAGGCCAUAUGAAAUAUUCAGCUAGAAAUCUUAUGUAUAUGUAUGUACAGUUCAGUUAGUUUUCUUUAUAGUCACUUUUAGGACUUGUACUGUCCAAAGGGGUGGGGGGAAUAAAUAAAUAAAUUAAAAACUAUAUAUGUAUGGCUAGGUCUAAUGGCAUCGAACAUUUUGAAUAGUUGGAAGUCAAAAAAUAUUCAUAAAUGACUGAGUUAUCACACUUCAAGUUCACAUCCAAAUAAUGUACAAUGACAUGAAUUGUGCGAGGUUUUUGGGGAAACUGCUAUUGUCAAAAAAAUGGGCAAGUAUGGAAAAAAAAAUUGUCACCACUUUUUGACUAAUUCAAAGCUCUAAUUAGGCCAUAAGAAAUAUUCACCGAGAAAUUUUAUGUAUAUGUGCGUACAGUUCAGUUAGUUUUCUUUAUAGUCACUUUUAGGACUUGUACUGUCCUAAGGGGCGGGGGGAAUAAAUAAAUAAAUAAAAACGAUACAUGUAUGGAUAGGUCUAAUGCCAACGAACAUUUUGAAUGAUUGGAAGUAAAAAAAUAUUCAUAAAUGGCUGAGUUAUCACACUUCAAGUUCACGUCCAAAUAAUGCUCACUGACAUGAAUUGUGUGAGGUUUUUGGGGAAACUGCUAUUGUCAAAAAAAUUGGCAUGUAUUGAAAAAAAAAAUUGUCACCACUUUUUGAAUAAUUCAAAGCCCUAAUUAGGCCAUAUGAAAUAUUCACCUAGAAAUUUUAUGUAUAUGUAUAUACAGUUCAGUUAGUUUUCUUUAUAGUCACGUUUAGGACUUGUACUGUCCUAAGGGAGGGGGGGGAAUAAAUAAAUAAAUUAAAAACUAUAUAUGUAUGGAUCGGUCUAAUGCCACCGAACAUUUUGAAUGAUUGGAAGUCAAAAAAUAUUCAUAAAUGGCUGAGUUAUCACACUUUAAGUUCACGUCCAAAUAAUGUACACUGACAUGCGUUGUGUCGCCAAAAAAAAUGCAUGCCACGAGGGUUAAAAAGGGUUGGAGUUAAUGUGGGAGCCGCAUAAUGCCCUUUAUUUUGAAUUGGUGCUUUUUAUUUCUUUACAUUUCAAAGUAAUGGCAAUUUUGUUGUGCCAGUUGAUGUUAAUCAAGCAUUAAUUGUUAAUAUAAUUAAUUAAAGUUAAUUGGCUCUAAGUGAAGCUUGUCAUAAAUUUAUCGCAUCAGGCGGGUUGGCUCUCAAGCUCAAUGAGGACCAAGUCACAUCUCCAGGUCCUCCUCUGAGAACCUGGGCAAAAAAAUUAUGUGCACCCCUGGUUAUAAUCAACAAAUACAGUACUUAUGUACAGUAUGUUGAAUGUAUAUAUCCGUCUUGUGUCUUAUCUUUCCAUUCCAAAAAUAAUUUACAGAAAAAUAUGGCAUAUUUUAGAGAUGGUUUGAGUUGUGAUUAAUUCUGAUGAAUUAAUUUUUAAGCUGUGAUUAACUCAAUUAAAAAUUUUAAUCGUUUGACAGCCCUAAUAACCCUUACUUUUCGAGGCUAUGGUCAUAAAGUUAAUAUGAGAAACUUGAAACUGUUCAGUGUUGCAACUGUUCAAUUUUGCCCAUCAGAUAUUUUUUAAAAUAAAGUCUUAGCCAAAGUUAUUUAUUUUUAUUUUGUUUUUCAAAAUAUCUACAUUUCAGAAUAUUGUAUUUUCUAUUUUUGAGCAGAAUUCUAGCUUUGUAUAGGCUAAUGUUCCUAUUGUUGAAAGCACAAAAGUGUGUAAUAAAAAACUAGCACAUUUAUAUUUUGUAUUUUGUUUUCUUACUGUACCGAAAAUGAACCGAACUGUGACCUCAAAACCGACGUACGUACCGAACCGAGAUUUUUGUGUACCGUUACACCGCUAGUCAUCAAUGAUUGCUACAUCAGAUUUUGCACGCAGGACGAUUGUAUUCUGUGAAGCUUCCUCAAAUCCUUUUGAAAACUGCUACUUUUGGUGCCUCACGUGUGCUUUGUCCUAUCCUUGUAUGAUAUGCAUCCACACUAUUGCCAGAAGUAUUGUCUCACCUGAUUUAACUCUCGAGUGAAGCAAUAGAGCAACAAGUUCUGUAAUAUUUGACAAUAAUCAUACUAAUAAAUCCUGUCAUACGUUGUUGCCAAAGAAGUCAUCCUUCUGUCGUCUGAGUCUCUCCUUUGCUUUUUCCGGGCGAAUCUAACAUGUGAUCUAAUUGGAGGGCACACACCUGAUCGGUGUACUUCCGCCAGCUUUCUGAUUGGUUGGCUUUGUGGCACAUUUGCAACUUGUGUGCCAAACUGAUUGCGCAGAGAAAAAAAAUCACCGAUUGCAGGGGUCGACAGAUUGAGCGGGAGGGUGGAAUUGUGCGGGUAAAACUAACAUGCAAACACAAUUAUGGAGCACAGAGUAGAUUUUUUUUGCUCAUAUUGUUUCCUGUACUCCUAUUAUUGCUUGCUCAAAAUCUUUAAUUGCUGACUCAGAAUAGUGGCACAAACAUAACGCCACAAAUGGCAAACUGCUACAGGAAGCAUCAGGCUUGCCGUUUUUAUAAAUAAUUUUUGUUUUUAUCUUGCAUAAGAGAAUAAGCAAAAUUGCUUUAGCCUUUUAAGGUGUUUACUGAGUAUACUUACAUUCUAAAUAUAACUCGUAGCAUUAGCUUUACCAUGGGGCGCAUCCUCUUAAACUCUCCAUUGUUAACAUCUCGUGACAUCACGGUGGGUUUAAUUAUUUGAAAAUGAUGUUCUGUUUUCGCUGAGCGUGUAUACAGAAAAGGAAGUCCUGCGUUUGUUGGUUUUGUAGCACUAGACUGAAUUAAUCCUCUCAGGUCAUCGUUGUAAAUUUGAAGCUGUUGAAGUAAUUCAAAAAGAAAAAUGCCUUUCAUGACCUACAGUGCAUCGGGGUUCACUAAAUCCGGACCUCAGUGCCACUUUUCCUGUCGUGUUUUCCACGUCUCCCCUAACACAC
Molecule: RNA transcript, 11031 nt
Organism: Corythoichthys intestinalis (scribbled pipefish)
Lineage: Eukaryota; Metazoa; Chordata; Actinopteri; Syngnathiformes; Syngnathidae
Exons: 4
Source: RefSeq, a predicted model, not a curated record